AGAGCGAACGCUGGCGGCAGGCCUAAUACAUGCAAGUCGAGCGCACCUUCGGGUGAGCGGCGGACGGGUGAGUAACGCGUGGGAAUGUGCCCUUUGGUACGGAACAACUGAGGGAAACUUCAGCUAAUACCGUAUGUGCCCUUCGGGGGAAAGAUUUAUCGCCAUUGGAGCAGCCCGCGUUGGAUUAGCUAGUUGGUAGGGUAAAAGCCUACCAAGGCUACGAUCCAUAGCUGGUCUGAGAGGAUGAUCAGCCACACUGGGACUGAGACACGGCCCAGACUCCUACGGGAGGCAGCAGUAGGGAAUCUUGCGCAAUGGGCGAAAGCCUGACGCAGCCAUGCCGCGUGAAUGAUGAAGGUCUUAGGAUUGUAAAAUUCUUUCACCGGGAAGAUAAUGACGGUACCCGGAGAAGAAGCUCCGGCUAACUUCGCGCCAGCAGCCGAC
This 444-nucleotide ribosomal RNA is filed under the name uncultured bacterium. Its description in RNAcentral is "SSU rRNA". It matches the Rfam family "Bacterial small subunit ribosomal RNA", at positions 26 to 518 of the family's 1533-position model. The record is from RNAcentral.